GGAUUGGUGGUUCAGUGGUAGAAUUCUCACCUUCCUUGUGGGAGACCUGAGUUUGAUUCCUGGCUGAUGCA
This 71-nucleotide transfer RNA is filed under the name Loxodonta africana (African savanna elephant). It matches the Rfam family "tRNA". From Rfam's summary of the family: Transfer RNA (tRNA) molecules are approximately 80 nucleotides in length. Their secondary structure includes four short double-helical elements and three loops (D, anti-codon, and T loops). The record is from Rfam by way of RNAcentral. Lineage: Eukaryota; Metazoa; Chordata; Mammalia; Proboscidea; Elephantidae.